GAACGCUGGCGGCAGGCCUAACACAUGCAAGUCGAACGGUAGCACAGAGAGCUUGCUCUCGGGUGACGAGUGGCGGACGGGUGAGUAAUGUCUGGGAAACUGCCUGAUGGAGGGGGAUAACUACUGGAAACGGUAGCUAAUACCGCAUAACGUCGCAAGACCAAAGAGGGGGACCUUCGGGCCUCUUGCCAUCAGAUGUGCCCAGAUGGGAUUAGCUAGUAGGUGGGGUAACGGCUCACCUAGGCGACGAUCCCUAGCUGGUCUGAGAGGAUGACCAGCCACACUGGAACUGAGACACGGUCCAGACUCCUACGGGAGGCAGCAGUGGGGAAUAUUGCACAAUGGGCGCAAGCCUGAUGCAGCCAUGCCGGGUGUAUGAAGAAGGCCUUCGGGUUGUAAAGUACUUUCAGCGGGGAGGAAGGUGUUGCGGUUAAUAACCGCAGCAAUUGACGUUACCCGCAGAAGAAGCACCGGCUAACUCCGUGCCAGCAGCCGCGGUAAUACGGAGGGUGCAAGCGUUAAUCGGAAUUACUGGGCGUAAAGCGCACGCAGGCGGUCUGUCAAGUCGGAUGUGAAAUCCCCGGGCUCAACCUGGGAACUGCAUUCGAAACUGGCAGGCUAGAGUCUUGUAGAGGGGGGUAGAAUUC
Molecule: ribosomal RNA, 647 nt
Filed under: uncultured Enterobacter sp.
Lineage: Bacteria; Pseudomonadati; Pseudomonadota; Gammaproteobacteria; Enterobacterales; Enterobacteriaceae
Description: bacterial SSU rRNA
Rfam family: Bacterial small subunit ribosomal RNA
Source: RNAcentral